RNAcentral lists this ribosomal RNA (275 nucleotides) under Tetracapsuloides bryosalmonae. Its description in RNAcentral is "partial small subunit ribosomal RNA". It matches the Rfam family "Eukaryotic small subunit ribosomal RNA", at positions 71 to 346 of the family's 1831-position model. Lineage: Eukaryota; Metazoa; Cnidaria; Myxozoa; Malacovalvulida; Saccosporidae. The record is from RNAcentral.
CUUCGGUAGAGUGAAACUGCGGAUAGCUCAUUAAAUCGCCUCUAUUUUGUUUGAUAGUCCUCCACUGGAUAUCCGUGGAAAAUCUAGAGCCAAUACUUGCACUGAUAUCUAACAAGCUAAUGCUUCUUGUUAGAUGCAUUUAUUGGAUAUCCGAUCGCUCACGUUGCGAGCGUUAGGUGAUUCUAAAUGACUUUGCUGAUCGUAUGGCCUUGUGCCGACGACAGAUCAAACAAGAUCGCGCCCUAUCAAUUUGUUGUUAGGAUAUUUUCCUAACU